AACGAACGCUGGCGGCAUGCCUAACACAUGCAAGUCGAACGAGACCUUCGGGUCUAGUGGCGCACGGGUGCGUAACGCGUGGGAACCUGCCCUUAGGUUCGGAAUAACUCCCCGAAAGGGGUGCUAAUACCGGAUAAUGUCUUCGGACCAAAGAUUUAUCGCCUUUGGAUGGGCCCGCGUUGGAUUAGCUAGUUGGUAGGGUAAAAGCCUACCACGGCGACGAUCCAUAGCUGGUCUGAGAGGAUGAUCCGCCACACUGGGACUGAGACACGGCCCAGACUCCUACGGGAGGCAGCAGUGGGUAAUAUUGGACAAUGGGCGAAAGCCUGAUCCAGCAAUGCCGCGUGAGUGAUGAAGGCCUUAGGGUUGUAAAGCUCUUUUACCCGGGAUGAUAAUGACAGUACCGGGAGAAUAAGCUCCGGCUAACUCCGUG
RNAcentral lists this ribosomal RNA (433 nucleotides) under uncultured bacterium. RNAcentral describes it as "partial 16S ribosomal RNA". It matches the Rfam family "Bacterial small subunit ribosomal RNA", at positions 29 to 507 of the family's 1533-position model. The record is from RNAcentral.